CCUACGGGAGGCAGCAGUAGGGAAUCUUCCACAAUGGGCGCAAGCCUGAUGGAGCAACACCGCGUGAGUGAAGAAGGGUUUCGGCUCGUAAAGCUCUGUUGUUAGAGAAGAACGUGCGUGAGAGCAACUGUUCACGCAGUGACGGUAUCUAACCAGAAAGUCACGGCUAACUACGUGCCAGCAGCCGCGGUAAUACGUAGGUGGCAAGCGUUAUCCGGAUUUAUUGGGCGUAAAGCGAGCGCAGGCGGUUUGAUAAGUCUGAUGUGAAAGCCUUUGGCUUAACCAAAGAAGUGCAUCGGAAACUGUCAGACUUGAGUGCAGAAGAGGACAGUGGAACUCCAUGUGUAGCGGUGGAAUGCGUAGAUAUAUGGAAGAACACCAGUGGCGAAGGCGGCUGUCUGGUCUGCAACUGACGCUGAGGCUCGAAAGCAUGGGUAGCGAACAGGAUUAGAUACCCUAGUAGUC
This 465-nucleotide ribosomal RNA is filed under the name uncultured Lactobacillus sp. RNAcentral describes it as "bacterial SSU rRNA". It matches the Rfam family "Bacterial small subunit ribosomal RNA", at positions 338 to 795 of the family's 1533-position model. Lineage: Bacteria; Bacillati; Bacillota; Bacilli; Lactobacillales; Lactobacillaceae. The record is from RNAcentral.